RNAcentral lists this ribosomal RNA (588 nucleotides) under uncultured bacterium. Its description in RNAcentral is "bacterial SSU rRNA". It matches the Rfam family "Bacterial small subunit ribosomal RNA", at positions 338 to 917 of the family's 1533-position model. The record is from RNAcentral.
CCUACGGGAGGCAGCAGUAGGGAAUCUUCCGCAAUGGACGAAAGUCUGACGGAGCAAUGCCGCGUGAGUGAAGAAGGUUUUCGGAUUGUAAAACUCUGUUGUUAGAGAAGAACAAGGAUGAGCGUAACUACUCAUCCCCUGACGGUAUCUAACCAGAAAGCCAUGGCUAACUACGUGCCAGCAGCCGCAGUAAUACGUAGAUGGCAAGCGUUGUCCGGAUUUAUUGGGCGUAAAGCGAGCGCAGGCGGUUCUUUAAGUCUGAUGUGAAAGCCCCCAGCUCAACUGGGGAAGGUCAUUGGAAACUGGGGAACUUGAGUGCAGAAGAGGAGAGUGGAAUUCCACGUGUAGCGGUGAAAUGCGUAGAUAUGUGGAGGAACACCAGUGGCGAAGGCGACUCUCUGGUCUGUAACUGACGCUGAGGCUCGAAAGCGUGGGGAGCAAACAGGAUUAGAUACCCUGGUAGUCCACGCCGUAAACGAUGAGUGCUAAGUGUUGGAGGGUUUCCGCCCUUCAGUGCUGCAGUUAACGCAUUAAGCACUCCGCCUGGGGAGUACGGUCGCAAGGCUGAAACUCAAAUGAAUUGACGGA